RNAcentral lists this long non-coding RNA (1449 nucleotides) under Sus scrofa (pig). RNAcentral describes it as "lncRNA (ENSSSCG00025044451.1)". The record is from RNAcentral. Lineage: Eukaryota; Metazoa; Chordata; Mammalia; Artiodactyla; Suidae.
AGACUGAUGAUUCACACUGCAGUCAAGUUCUGCUGGAAAGUAAGAGAUAAAUAUGCAUUUAUGAGAUUCAGAAUGCUAUUUUCAAACACCUGCAAAGAAGAGAACACUGUGUCAAUGUAUCCAGUCACAUAUUUGAGAGUCUGCAGAACCUGUCUACCUAAUGCCCAUUGGGAUGUGUGCCCUUUGCUUCUCUUUCCCUUCCCACAACCCAACCAUAGAGAGAAACGGCAGUGGAGAUGGUUUAUUUGGCCAGUGAGUCCUCACUCUUUCAAUCAUGUUUGCCCUCUCUUCCUGAUGUUUGGUAAGAAAAAAUGCCCUUUGAGUAAAAAGAAGAGCUUAGAAUGUCAUGGAAUACCAAGUUGUGGAUUUCCUGCUCUGAGCAAGCUGGAACUCAUCCUUAUCUCCAAGGGCUAGCUGCUGUAUUUAAAACUUCUUUGUGACAACCCAGGUUUAUCUGAAACCUGAAACAUGGAUCAGAGCACCCUCCCCUAAGUUGCUCUCCAGCCUCGGUGGUAGUGAGAGGUUGAGUUUGGCUAUUAAGCUCACCAGCAGGAAUAUGGGCAUCUUUUGCUGUAGCGACAGCAGUAAAACUGCCACUCACGGUCCAGCACUGAUUCGAAGUAGCGGCUCUGGAACCCUGCCACCAGUCCAUUGUUGGAGCAUGUCUGGUACCUGAAGAGAAGAGAACUCAAAAUUAACUAACCACAAUGACAUACGAACAGAUCCCCUUCCUGAGAUUGAGAUCACAGCUCCCACAGUUACUGAGUCGGGCCACUCUUUAAUUGACCUAGAUUCCUAACAUUUUUUUUUCCAUUUUUAUGCAAAUAAUACUUUAUUAGUAUCAAUGACAUAUACUUACCAUUAAAAUUCAAAUGAUUCAGAAUCUCUCAACUGAAGGAGAAUCGAGGAACUCUGCUCUUGUUAGACCUUUAUGAAUAUAUUGUUAGAUGGAAGGAUGCAUAAAUAGAUGGAUAUAGAGGCAUCUGUAUCUUACCAAAAGCAAGAUUGUAUUAUUUAUGCCAUUUAAAAUAAGAGAUCAUACAAUUUAUUUUACUUGAAUUAAAAUAAAAAGAAGACAAAGAGAAACGCAAUGGAUUGAUGAAAUUCCAACUUUUCUUCUGCUUAAGAAUAGAACCCUGGAGAUUGAGCACAAGGAUACUCUUCAUUCUACCCCUAAACAGUAGGCAAAGCCCAGAUGGGCACAGUGAUUUAUAAAGGGUGAAUCAGCAAGGUAGCUGGGACCACAACCACAAGAUGUAAAUUGAGACCUAUGCCCUUUGCACGAUCCAGCCUUCUUUUCUCCACCAUUGCUCACAUUUCACUACCUAUCCAGGAAUUUUUCUAUCACUCACAGAUUGCAAGCUCUACAUGGUCAGGGAGUGUUGUGGUCAAAAUUCUAUACAAUGCCCACCGUGGGUCCUGGCAAAUGGAGGCCCUCCUUACAGAGUG